RNAcentral lists this non-coding RNA (21 nucleotides) under Arabidopsis thaliana (thale cress). The record is from RNAcentral. Lineage: Eukaryota; Viridiplantae; Streptophyta; Magnoliopsida; Brassicales; Brassicaceae.
CCACUGUCCCUGUCUACUAUC